CUCUACCUUGACCUGCUGACAUAUUAAAUACUUAAAAACAAAGUCAACUAUAUCUCGUUUCAUCCCAUUCCACCAAAAUCGGGGUCUCAUACUUUGGUUCAUCUUAGUGCUUACGGGAUGCAUGGCAAACUUUAAGCUACAGACCUCCGUCAUAAUGUUCUUUUUUAGCUCACUGUCACCUGGAACACACAUCCUGUCUUGGAAUCUGAGCAACCUAUCGGCGGAGACUCGAGAUUUUGAGUUAGCUCCCUGUUCUGCAUCUUUCUUGAGGGCUGCUAGGGUAGAGUUGGUGGACUGAGCUUCCUUUACUCUCUGGAUUAACUCAGGCUGAAUGGGCAAGUAGUCUAAACAUGUGAUUCUCCUAAGGUCCGGAAGUCCCACCUGUUGUGCAGCUCCUAUCUACCUGCAUUUUGAAACCAUCAAUUGGGCUAAUGUACUUACACUUUUCCUAUUGAGUGCGUCGGCUACCAUGUUACCCUUACACAGGUGAU
RNAcentral lists this long non-coding RNA (491 nucleotides) under Carica papaya (papaya). RNAcentral describes it as "long non-coding RNA (CPAP_LNC007773)". The record is from RNAcentral. Lineage: Eukaryota; Viridiplantae; Streptophyta; Magnoliopsida; Brassicales; Caricaceae.